UUUUUUGUUUGCGCGCUCUCUCCGCAAGGGACGUGAGAUUUUCGGCACCUUUUCCCUACAGUUUUUUUGUUUCGUUCCGCGCGGAGCACGCGGGAAUGUGUGAUAAGGGAGCAAAGAUUGA
Molecule: non-coding RNA, 121 nt
Organism: Caenorhabditis elegans
Lineage: Eukaryota; Metazoa; Nematoda; Chromadorea; Rhabditida; Rhabditidae
Source: Ensembl